UAGACCUCAAAUCAGUCAGGACUACCCGCUGAACUUAAGCAUAUCAAUAAGCGGAGGAAAAGAAACUAACAAGGAUUCCCCUAGUAACGGCGAGUGAAGUGGGAAAAGCUCAACUUUGAAAUCUGGUACUUUCAGUAUCCGAAUUGUAGUCUCAAGAAGUGUUUUCUGUGCCGGUCCAUGUAUGAGUCUGUUGGAACACAGCGUCAUAGAGGGUGACAACCCCGUUCAUGACAUGGAUCCCGGUGCUUUGUGAUACACUCUCGAAGAGUCGAGUUGUUUGGGAAUGCAGCUCAAAUUGGGUGGUAAAUUCCAUCUAAAGCUAAAUAUUGGCGAGAGACCGAUAGCAAACAAGUACCGUGAGGGAAAGAUGAAAAGCACUUUGGAAAGAGAGUUAACAGUACGUGAAAUUGUUGAAAGGGAAACGAUUGAAGUCAGACGUGCGUGAUGCGGUUCAGCUUUAGUUCGCUAGAGUGUACUCCGUAUCUUUGCAGGCCAGCAUCGGUUUUGUUAGUCGGAUAAAGGUUUGAGAAAUGUGGCAUCUUCGGAUGUGUUAUAGUCUCAGACUGAAUACGAUUGAUGGGACCGAGGAACGCAGCGCGCCGCAAGGCAAAGGUUCCGACCUUUCGCG
This 628-nucleotide ribosomal RNA is filed under the name Cystobasidium ongulense. RNAcentral describes it as "eukaryotic LSU rRNA". It matches the Rfam family "Eukaryotic large subunit ribosomal RNA", at positions 1 to 621 of the family's 3401-position model. Lineage: Eukaryota; Fungi; Basidiomycota; Cystobasidiomycetes; Cystobasidiales; Cystobasidiaceae. The record is from RNAcentral.